GGGGGUGUAGCUCAGCCCGGUAGAGCGCUGCCUUCGCACGGCAGAGGCCAGGGGUUCAAAUCCCCUCACCUCCA
RNAcentral lists this transfer RNA (74 nucleotides) under Actinomycetota bacterium. Its description in RNAcentral is "tRNA-Ala". It matches the Rfam family "tRNA". From Rfam's summary of the family: Transfer RNA (tRNA) molecules are approximately 80 nucleotides in length. Their secondary structure includes four short double-helical elements and three loops (D, anti-codon, and T loops). Further hydrogen bonds mediate the characteristic L-shaped molecular structure. tRNAs have two regions of fundamental functional importance: the anti-codon, which is responsible for specific mRNA codon recognition, and the 3' end, to which the tRNAs corresponding amino acid is attached (by aminoacyl-tRNA synthetases). tRNAs cope with the degeneracy of the genetic code in two manners: having more than one tRNA (with a specific anti-codon) for a particular amino acid; and 'wobble' base-pairing, i.e. permitting non-standard base-pairing at the 3rd anti-codon position. The record is from RNAcentral. RNAcentral also lists the same sequence under 1 other name. Lineage: Bacteria; Bacillati; Actinomycetota.